UGGGAGAGGUAGGUGGAAUUCUUGGUGUAGGGGUAAAAUCCGUAGAGAUCAAGAGGAAUACUCAUUGCGAAGGCGACCUGCUGGAACAUUACUGACGCUGAUGCGCGAAAGCGUGGGGAGCAAACAGGAUUAGAUACCCUGGUAGUCCACGCCCUAAACGAUGAAUGCUAGUUGUUGCCCUGCUUGUCAGGGCAGUAAUGCAGCUAACGCAUUAAGCAUUCCGCCUGGGGAGUACGGUCGCAAGAUUAAAACUCAAAGGAAUAGACGGGGACCCGCACAAGCGGUGGAGCAUGUGGUUUAAUUCGAAGAUACGCGAAGAACCUUACCUAGGCUUGACAUUGAUAGAAUCUGCUAGAGAUAGCGGAGUGCCCUUCGGGGAGCUUGAAAACAGG
Molecule: ribosomal RNA, 392 nt
Filed under: uncultured Helicobacter sp.
Lineage: Bacteria; Pseudomonadati; Campylobacterota; Epsilonproteobacteria; Campylobacterales; Helicobacteraceae
Description: bacterial SSU rRNA
Rfam family: Bacterial small subunit ribosomal RNA
Source: RNAcentral